RNAcentral lists this transfer RNA (76 nucleotides) under Clostridioides difficile. Its description in RNAcentral is "tRNA-Phe". It matches the Rfam family "tRNA". From Rfam's summary of the family: Transfer RNA (tRNA) molecules are approximately 80 nucleotides in length. Their secondary structure includes four short double-helical elements and three loops (D, anti-codon, and T loops). The record is from RNAcentral. Lineage: Bacteria; Bacillati; Bacillota; Clostridia; Peptostreptococcales; Peptostreptococcaceae.
GCCCAGAUAGCUCAGUCGGUAGAGCAGGGGACUGAAAAUCCCCGUGUCGGUGGUUCGAUUCAGCCUCUGGGCACCA